Molecule: ribosomal RNA, 233 nt
Filed under: uncultured bacterium
Lineage: Bacteria
Description: partial 16S ribosomal RNA
Rfam family: Bacterial small subunit ribosomal RNA
Source: RNAcentral
GACGAACGCUGGCGGCGUGCUUAACACAUGCAAGUCGAGCGGUAAGGCCCUUUCGGGGGUACGACGAGCGGCGAACGGGUGAGUAACACGUGGGUGACCUGCCCUCAGCUCUGGGAUAAGCCUGGGAAACCGGGUCUAAUACUGGAUAUGACUCCAUGACGCAUGUUGUGGGGUGGAAAGCCUUGUGCGGCUGAGGAUGGGCCCGCGGCCUAUCAGCUUGUUGGUGGGGUGAC